Regulatory RNA element from Chania multitudinisentens RB-25, 127 nucleotides. It matches the Rfam family "RtT RNA". Rfam says of the family: This family represents a bacterial cis-regulatory element known as RtT RNA. The record is from Rfam. NCBI's taxonomy places the organism in Bacteria, Pseudomonadati, Pseudomonadota, Gammaproteobacteria, Enterobacterales, Yersiniaceae.
UUUCUCUGCACAGGGGGAAGGAUGAGAAGCUUCGACAAGGUUCGAGUCGAGCGCAGCGAGACAACGCGCUUUAGCGCGGCCCGCAGGGCGAGGAGCAGCGAGACGAGUUAUCCUUCCCCCACCACCA